AACGAACGCUGGCGGCAGGCCUAACACAUGCAAGUCGAGCGAGGACUUCGGUCCUAGCGGCGGACGGGUGAGUAACGCGUGGGAACGUGCCCUUUGCUUCGGAAUAGCCCUGGGAAACUGGGAGUAAUACCGGAUGAGCCCUUUGGGGGAAAGAUUUAUCGGCGAAGGAUCGGCCCGCGUUGGAUUAGGUAGUUGGUGGGGUAAUGGCCUACCAAGCCGACGAUCCAUAGCUGGUUUGAGAGGAUGAUCAGCCACACUGGGACUGAGACACGGCCCAGACUCCUACGGGAGGCAGCAGUGGGGAAUCUUAGACAAUGGGGGAAACCCUGAUCUAGCCAUGCCGCGUGAGCGAUGAAGGCCUUAGGGUUAUAAAGCUCUUUCAGCUGGGAAGAUAAUGACGGUACCAGCAGAAGAAGCCCCGGCUAACUCCGUG
Molecule: ribosomal RNA, 433 nt
Filed under: uncultured bacterium
Lineage: Bacteria
Description: partial 16S ribosomal RNA
Rfam family: Bacterial small subunit ribosomal RNA
Source: RNAcentral